CGCAGCCGCGGUAAUUCCAGCUCCAAUAGCGUAUAUUAAAGUUGCUGCAGUUAAAAAGCUCGUAGUUGAAUUUCGGGACCAUCAUGUUGGUCGUGCCUCGGUACGUACUGGCAUUGUUGGUUUCUCCCUUCUGACGAACCAUGAUGUCAUUUAUUUGGUGUCGUGGGAAAUCAGGACUGUUACUUUGAAAAAUUAGAGUGUUUAAAGCAGGCUCACGCUUGAAUACAUUAGCAUGGAAUAAUGAAAUAGGACGUUUGAUUCUAUUUUGUUGGUUUCUAGGAUCGACGUAAUGAUUAAUAGGGAUAGUUGGGGGCAUUAGUAUUCAAUUGUCAGAGGUGAAAUUCUUGGAUUUAUUGAAGACUAACUACUGCGAAAGCAUUUGCCAAGGAUGUUUUCAUUAAUCAAGAACGAAAGUUAGGGGAUCGAAGACGAUCAGAUACCGUCGUAGUCUUAACCAUAAACUAUGCCGACUAGGGAUCGGAUGAUGUUAAUUUUUAAUGA
RNAcentral lists this unclassified non-coding RNA (501 nucleotides) under uncultured Glomus. RNAcentral's name for it is "SSU rRNA". It matches the Rfam family "Eukaryotic small subunit ribosomal RNA", at positions 569 to 1074 of the family's 1831-position model. Lineage: Eukaryota; Fungi; Glomeromycota; Glomeromycetes; Glomerales; Glomeraceae. The record is from RNAcentral.